Molecule: ribosomal RNA, 810 nt
Filed under: uncultured bacterium
Lineage: Bacteria
Description: bacterial SSU rRNA
Rfam family: Bacterial small subunit ribosomal RNA
Source: RNAcentral
AGAGUUUGAUCAUGGCUCAGAACGAACGCUGGCGGCGUGCCUAACACAUGCAAGUCGAACGCGAAAGGGGGCAACCCCCGGUAGCGUGGCAGACGGGUGAGUAACACGUGGGUAACCUACCCGGAGGUGGGGGAUAACCCCUCGAAAGGAGGGCUAAUACCGCAUGACAUCGUGGAGGCUUCGGUCUUCGCGAUCAAAGCUGGCCUCUGUUUACAAGCUAGCGCCACUGGAGGGGCCCGCGCCCCAUUAGCUAGUUGGUGAGGUAACGACUCACCAAGGCUACGAUGGGUAGCCGGCCUGAGAGGGCGAUCGGCCACACUGGAACUGAGACACGGUCCAGACUCCUACGGGAGGCAGCAGUGAGGAAUCUUGCGCAAUGGGCGAAAGCCUGACGCAGCGACGCCGCGUGGAGGAUGAAGGUCUUCGGAUUGUAAACUCCUGUCGAGUGGGACGAAUGCCAUGAGGGCGAAUAUCCCUCGUGGUUGACGGUACCGCUGGAGGAAGCCCCGGCUAACUCCGUGCCAGCAGCCGCGGUAAUACGGAGGGGGCUAGCGUUGUUCGGAAUCAUUGGGCGUAAAGGGCGCGUAGGCGGCCGAUCAAGUCGGAGGUGAAAUCCCUCGGCUCAACUGAGGAAUUGCCUCCGAUACUGUUCGGCUUGAGUCCUGGAGAGGGUAGUGGAAUUCCGAGUGUAGCGGUGAAAUGCGUAGAGACUCGGAAGAACACCAGUGGCGAAGGCGGCUACCUGGACAGGUACUGACGCUGAAGCGCGAAAGCUAGGGGAGCAAACAGGAUUAGAUACCCUAGUAGUCC